UACAGAGGGUGCAAGCGUUGCUCGGAAUUAUUGGGCGUAAAGGGUAGGUAGGUGGUCUCGUUUGUCUGAGGUGAAAGCCCCGAGCUUAACUUGGGAAGUGCCUCGGAAACGGCGAGACUGGAGUCCUUGAGAGGGUUGCGGAAUUCCCGGUGUAGCGGUGAAAUGCGUAGAGAUCGGGAGGAAUACCAGAGGCGAAGGCGGCAACCUGGAAAGGCACUGACACUCAACUACGAAAGCGUGGGGAGCAAAC
This 250-nucleotide ribosomal RNA is filed under the name uncultured bacterium. Its description in RNAcentral is "partial 16S ribosomal RNA". It matches the Rfam family "Bacterial small subunit ribosomal RNA", at positions 524 to 773 of the family's 1533-position model. The record is from RNAcentral.